GAUGAAGAACGUAGCGAAUUGUGAUAAGUAAUGUGAAUUGCAGAAUUCAGUGAAUCAUCGAAUCUUUGAACGCACAUUGCGCCCGCCAGUAUUCUGGCGGGCAUGCCUGUUCGAGCGUCAUUUCAACCAUCAAGCCCCCGGCUUGUGUUGGGGACCUGCGGCUGCCGCAGGCCCUGAAAAGCAGUGGCGGGCUCGCUGUCACACCGAGCGUAGUAGCAUACAUCUCGCUCUGGGCGUGCUGCGGGUUCCGGCCGUUAAACCACCUUCAUAACCCAAGGUUGACCUCGGAUCAGGUAGGAAGACCCGCUGAACUUAAGCAUAUCAAUAAGCGGAGGA
Molecule: unclassified non-coding RNA, 336 nt
Filed under: soil metagenome
Description: partial contains 5.8S ribosomal RNA, internal transcribed spacer 2, and large subunit ribosomal RNA
Rfam family: 5.8S ribosomal RNA (bases 1-120)
Source: RNAcentral